This 433-nucleotide ribosomal RNA is filed under the name uncultured bacterium. RNAcentral's name for it is "partial 16S ribosomal RNA". It matches the Rfam family "Bacterial small subunit ribosomal RNA", at positions 29 to 507 of the family's 1533-position model. The record is from RNAcentral.
AACGAACGCUGGCGGCAUGCCUAACACAUGCAAGUCGAACGAGACCUUCGGGUCUAGUGGCGCACGGGUGCGUAACGCGUGGGAACCUGCCCUUAGGUUCGGAAUAACUCCCCGAAAGGGGUGCUAAUACCGGAUAAUGUCUUCGGACCAAAGAUUUAUCGCCUUUGGAUGGGCCCGCGUUGGAUUAGCUAGUUGGUAGUGUAAAAGCCUACCAAGGCGACGAUCCAUAGCUGGUCUGAGAGGAUGAUCAGCCACACUGGGACUGAGACACGGCCCAGACUCCUACGGGAGGCAGCAGUGGGGAAUAUUGGACAAUGGGCGAAAGCCUGAUCCAGCAAUGCCGCGUGAGUGAUGAAGGCCUUAGGGUUGUAAAGCUCUUUUACCCGGGAUGAUAAUGACAGUACCGGGAGAAUAAGCACCGGCUAACUCCGUG